RNAcentral lists this ribosomal RNA (209 nucleotides) under uncultured bacterium. Its description in RNAcentral is "partial 16S ribosomal RNA". It matches the Rfam family "Bacterial small subunit ribosomal RNA", at positions 568 to 774 of the family's 1533-position model. The record is from RNAcentral.
UGCGUAGGUGGUAAGGCAAGUCAGGUGUGAAAUCUCCGGGCUCAACCCGGAAAUGGCAUUCGAAACUACCUUGCUAGAGGGUUUGAGGGGGGGACUGGAAUACUUGGUGUAGCAGUGAAAUGCGUAGAUAUCAAGUGGAACACCAGUGGCGAAGGCGAGUCCCUGGAAAACUCCUGACACUGAGGCACGAAAGCUAGGGAAAGCAAACA